RNAcentral lists this ribosomal RNA (472 nucleotides) under uncultured organism. Its description in RNAcentral is "bacterial SSU rRNA". It matches the Rfam family "Bacterial small subunit ribosomal RNA", at positions 8 to 492 of the family's 1533-position model. The record is from RNAcentral.
AGAGUUUGAUCGUGGCUCAGGACGAACGCUGGCGGCGUGCUUAACACAUGCAAGUCGAACGGAAAGGCCCUGCUUUUGUGGGGUGCUCGAGUGGCGAACGGGUGAGUAACACGUGAGUAACCUGCCCUUGACUUUGGGAUAACUUCAGGAAACUGGGGCUAAUACCGGAUAGGAGCUCCUGCUGCAUGGUGGGGGUUGGAAAGUUUCGGCGGUUGGGGAUGGACUCGCGGCUUAUCAGCUUGUUGGUGGGGUAGUGGCUUACCAAGGCUUUGACGGGUAGCCGGCCUGAGAGGGUGACCGGCCACAUUGGGACUGAGAUACGGCCCAGACUCCUACGGGAGGCAGCAGUGGGGAAUAUUGCACAAUGGGCGGAAGCCUGAUGCAGCAACGCCGCGUGCGGGAUGACGGCCUUCGGGUUGUAAACCGCUUUCGCCUGUGACGAAGCGUGAGUGACGGUAAUGGUAAAGAAGCC